AGCAGCCGCGGUAAUUCCAGCUCCAAUAGCGUAUAUUAAAGUUGUUGCAGUUAAAAAGCUCGUAGUUGAAUUUCGGGAUCAAAGAAUCGGUCAUGCCUUGGUAUGUACUGGUUUUAUUGGUUCUCACCUUCUAAAGAACCACGAUGUCAUUCAUUUGAUGUUAUGGGGAAUUAGGACUGUUACCUUGAAAAAAUUAGAGUGUUUAAAGCAAGCUUACGCUUGAAUACAUUAGCAUGGAAUAAUGAAAUAGGACAUCAGAUUCUAUUUUGUUGGUUUCUAGGAUCGAUGUAAUGAUUAAUAGGGAUAGUUGGGGGCAUUAGUAUUCAAUUGUCAGAGGUGAAAUUCUUGGAUUUAUUGAAGACUAACUACUGCGAAAGCAUUUGCCAAGGAUGUUUUCAUUAAUCAAGAACGAAAGUUAGGGGAUCGAAGACGAUCAGAUACCGUCGUAGUCUUAACCAUAAAC
Molecule: unclassified non-coding RNA, 463 nt
Filed under: uncultured Glomus
Lineage: Eukaryota; Fungi; Glomeromycota; Glomeromycetes; Glomerales; Glomeraceae
Description: SSU rRNA
Rfam family: Eukaryotic small subunit ribosomal RNA
Source: RNAcentral